AUGCGCCAGCCAUCGGGAUUUGUGGAUCCUGCACGUCGUCAUCAUCUUUGUCGUCUUGUUAAGGCGCUAUAUGGACUUAAACAGGCUCCCCAUGUGUGGCAUGCACGCCUCGGCUCUGUUCUUUGGGCUCUUGGUUUUCUUCCCUCCACUGCUGACACGUCCUUGUUCCUUCUUCAGCGUCCUGAGGUCACGAUGUAUCUCCUGGUUUAUGUUGAUGAUAUCAUCCUCAUUAGUUUCUCUGCUGCUGCUGCGGAUCGUCUUGUGGCUGCUUUGAGUGGGGAUUUUGCUGUCAAGGACUUAGGUGCUCUGCAUUUUUUCCUUGGUCUGGAGGUCUCACGGUCUUCUGCUUGGUUGACUCUCACUCAGAAGAAGUAUUCUCUGGAUCUAUUGCGUCGUGCUGGCAUGCUGAAGUGUAAACAUGCGAUCACUCCAAUUUCUGCUACUGAUCGGUUGUCUGCCAUGGAUGGAGAUCUUCUUUCAUCUGAUGAUGCUACUGAGUAUCGCAGUCUUGUUGGUGGUCUGCAGUAUCUUACUAUCACCAGACCAGAUGUCUCUUAUGCAGUAAAUCGUGUCUGUCAGUAUCUUCAUGCGCCCAGGACGUCUCAUUGGUCAGCUGUGAAACGCAUUCUGCGUUAUAUCUGUUCCACUGCCUCAUAUGGUUUACUUCUCCAGCCUGCACCAUCUUAUGAGAUCUCGACCUUUUCAGAUGCAGAUUGGGCUGGGUGUCCUGAUGACAGGCGAUCCAUAGGGGGAUAUGCAAUGUUUCUUGGUCCUAAUUUGAUCGCCUGGAAUGCUCGUAAUCAAGCUAAGGUGUCUCGCAGCAGUACUGAAGCUGAGUACAAAGCAGUUGCUGAUGCGACUGCUGAGAUCAUAUGGGUUCAGUCCUUGUUGGGAGAAUUGAGAGUCCCUCCUACUCGUUCUCCAGUGCUUUGGUGUGACAACAUUGGUGCUACCUAUCUCUCAUCUAAUCCGGUGUUUCAUGCUCGGACAAAACACAUUGAGGUAGACUAUCACUUUGUUCGAGAACCUGUAUCACAGAAGCUCCUCAGUAUCAAGUUUAUCUCAUCAAAAGAUCAACUUGCUGACAUCUUCACGAAGCCUCUUCCACAACCACAGUUUGGCCGUAGGCGCAAUCUUAACUUACUUUGUACUUCAGGCCAUAGUUAA
Molecule: ribosomal RNA, 1167 nt
Filed under: Triticum aestivum (bread wheat)
Lineage: Eukaryota; Viridiplantae; Streptophyta; Magnoliopsida; Poales; Poaceae
Description: partial small subunit ribosomal RNA
Source: RNAcentral